This 539-nucleotide ribosomal RNA is filed under the name Tremella samoensis. RNAcentral describes it as "LSU rRNA". It matches the Rfam family "Eukaryotic large subunit ribosomal RNA", at positions 92 to 609 of the family's 3401-position model. The record is from RNAcentral. Lineage: Eukaryota; Fungi; Basidiomycota; Tremellomycetes; Tremellales; Tremellaceae.
AGCGAACCGGGAAGAGCUCAAAUUUGAAAUCUGGCGUCCCAAGGGCGUCCGAGUUGUAAUCUACAGAGGCGUUUUCCGCGCCGGUCCGCGUCCAAGUCCCUUGGAACAGGGUAUCGAAGAGGGUGACAAUCCCGUGCUUGACGUGACCGCCGGUGCUAUGUGAUGCGUCUUCUAAGAGUCGAGUUGUUUGGGAAUGCAGCUCAAAACGGGUGGUAAAUUCCAUCUAAGGCUAAAUAUUGGCGAGAGACCGAUAGCGAACAAGUACCGUGAGGGAAAGAUGAAAAGCACUUUGGAAAGAGAGUUAAACAGUACGUGAAAUUGUUGAAAGGGAAACGAUUGAAGUCAGUCGUGUCCGAGAGGCUCAACCGGUCCUGCCGGCUCACUCCCCUCGGACGGGUCAACAUCGGUUUUGGUCGACGGAAAAGGGAACGGGGAAAGUGGCACCUCCUGGUGUGUUAUAGCCCCGCGUCGCAUACGUCGACCGAGACCGAGGAAUGCAGCUUGCCCUCACGGGCCGGGGUUCGCCCACGUACGAGCUA